AUUGAACGCUGGCGGCAUGCUUUACACAUGCAAGUCGAACGGCAGCGCGGGCUUCGGCCUGGCGGCGAGUGGCGAACGGGUGAGUAAUACAUCGGAACGUGCCCAGUAGUGGGGGAUAGCUCGGCGAAAGCCGGAUUAAUACCGCAUACGACCUGAGGGUGAAAGCGGGGGAUCUUCGGAUCUCGCGCUAUUGGAGCGGCCGAUGGCAGAUUAGCUAGUUGGUGGGGUAAAGGCCUACCAAGGCGACGAUCUGUAGCUGGUCUGAGAGGACGACCAGCCACACUGGGACUGAGACACGGCCCAGACUCCUACGGGAGGCAGCAGUGGGGAAUUUUGGACAAGGGGCGAAAGGCUGAUCCAGCAAUGCCGCGUGUGUGAUGAAGGCCUUCGGGUUGUAAAGCACUUUUGGCGGGAACGAAAAGGACUGUGCCAAUACCACGGUUCGAUGACGGUACCCGCAGAAUAAGCACCGGCUAACUACGUG
Molecule: ribosomal RNA, 484 nt
Filed under: uncultured bacterium
Lineage: Bacteria
Description: partial 16S ribosomal RNA
Rfam family: Bacterial small subunit ribosomal RNA
Source: RNAcentral